Molecule: non-coding RNA, 75 nt
Organism: Camelus ferus (Wild Bactrian camel)
Lineage: Eukaryota; Metazoa; Chordata; Mammalia; Artiodactyla; Camelidae
Source: Rfam
GAAGGGUAGAGCUCAGUGGUAGAGCGCAUGCCUAUAGCAUGCACAAGGUCCUGGGUUCAAUCCCUAGUUCCUCCA